Molecule: ribosomal RNA, 2903 nt
Filed under: Klebsiella variicola
Lineage: Bacteria; Pseudomonadati; Pseudomonadota; Gammaproteobacteria; Enterobacterales; Enterobacteriaceae
Description: 23S ribosomal RNA
Rfam family: Bacterial large subunit ribosomal RNA
Source: RNAcentral
GGUUAAGCGACUAAGCGUACACGGUGGAUGCCCUGGCAGUCAGAGGCGAUGAAGGACGUGCUAAUCUGCGAAAAGCGUCGGUAAGGUGAUAUGAACCGUUAUAGCCGGCGAUGUCCGAAUGGGGAAACCCAGUGCAAUUCGUUGCACUAUCGUUAACUGAAUACAUAGGUUAACGAGGCGAACCGGGGGAACUGAAACAUCUAAGUACCCCGAGGAAAAGAAAUCAACCGAGAUUCCCCCAGUAGCGGCGAGCGAACGGGGAGCAGCCCAGAGUCUGAAUCAGCUUGUGUGUUAGUGGAACGGUCUGGAAAGUCCGACGGUACAGGGUGAUAGUCCCGUACACCAAAAUGCACAGGUUGUGAACUCGAAGAGUAGGGCGGGACACGUGGUAUCCUGUCUGAAUAUGGGGGGACCAUCCUCCAAGGCUAAAUACUCCUGACUGACCGAUAGUGAACCAGUACCGUGAGGGAAAGGCGAAAAGAACCCCGGCGAGGGGAGUGAAAAAGAACCUGAAACCGUGUACGUACAAGCAGUGGGAGCACCUUCGGGUGUGACUGCGUACCUUUUGUAUAAUGGGUCAGCGACUUAUAUUCUGUAGCAAGGUUAACCGUAUAGGGGAGCCGCAGGGAAACCGAGUCUUAACUGGGCGUUAAGUUGCAGGGUAUAGACCCGAAACCCGGUGAUCUAGCCAUGGGCAGGUUGAAGGUUGGGUAACACUAACUGGAGGACCGAACCGACUAAUGUUGAAAAAUUAGCGGAUGACUUGUGGCUGGGGGUGAAAGGCCAAUCAAACCGGGAGAUAGCUGGUUCUCCCCGAAAGCUAUUUAGGUAGCGCCUCGUGAAUUCAUCUUCGGGGGUAGAGCACUGUUUCGGCUAGGGGUCAUCCCGACUUACCAACCCGAUGCAAACUACGAAUACCGAAGAAUGUUAUCACGGGAGACACACGGCGGGUGCUAACGUCCGUCGUGAAGAGGGAAACAACCCAGACCGCCAGCUAAGGUCCCAAAGUCAUGGUUAAGUGGGAAACGAUGUGGGAAGGCACAGACAGCCAGGAUGUUGGCUUAGAAGCAGCCAUCAUUUAAAGAAAGCGUAAUAGCUCACUGGUCGAGUCGGCCUGCGCGGAAGAUGUAACGGGGCUAAACCAUGCACCGAAGCUGCGGCAGCGACACUAUGUGUUGUUGGGUAGGGGAGCGUUCUGUAAGCCUGCGAAGGUGGCCUGUGAGGGUUGCUGGAGGUAUCAGAAGUGCGAAUGCUGACAUAAGUAACGAUAAAGCGGGUGAAAAGCCCGCUCGCCGGAAGACCAAGGGUUCCUGUCCAACGUUAAUCGGGGCAGGGUGAGUCGACCCCUAAGGCGAGGCCGAAAGGCGUAGUCGAUGGGAAACAGGUUAAUAUUCCUGUACUUGGUGUUACUGCGAAGGGGGGACGGAGAAGGCUAUGUUAGCCGGGCGACGGUUGUCCCGGUUUAAGCAUGUAGGCGGAGGUUCCAGGUAAAUCCGGUACCUUUUAACGCUGAGGUGUGAUGACGAGGCACUACGGUGCUGAAGUAACAAAUGCCCUGCUUCCAGGAAAAGCCUCUAAGCAUCAGGUAACAUUAAAUCGUACCCCAAACCGACACAGGUGGUCAGGUAGAGAAUACCAAGGCGCUUGAGAGAACUCGGGUGAAGGAACUAGGCAAAAUGGUGCCGUAACUUCGGGAGAAGGCACGCUGGUGUGUAGGUGAAGUCCCUGCGGAUGGAGCUGAGACCAGUCGAAGAUACCAGCUGGCUGCAACUGUUUAUUAAAAACACAGCACUGUGCAAACACGAAAGUGGACGUAUACGGUGUGACGCCUGCCCGGUGCCGGAAGGUUAAUUGAUGGGGUUAUCCGUAAGGAGAAGCUCUUGAUCGAAGCCCCGGUAAACGGCGGCCGUAACUAUAACGGUCCUAAGGUAGCGAAAUUCCUUGUCGGGUAAGUUCCGACCUGCACGAAUGGCGUAAUGAUGGCCAGGCUGUCUCCACCCGAGACUCAGUGAAAUUGAACUCGCUGUGAAGAUGCAGUGUACCCGCGGCAAGACGGAAAGACCCCGUGAACCUUUACUAUAGCUUGACACUGAACAUUGAGCCUUGAUGUGUAGGAUAGGUGGGAGGCUUUGAAGCGUGGACGCCAGUCUGCGUGGAGCCAACCUUGAAAUACCACCCUUUAAUGUUUGAUGUUCUAACGUUGGCCCCUUAUCGGGGUUGCGGACAGUGUCUGGUGGGUAGUUUGACUGGGGCGGUCUCCUCCCAAAGAGUAACGGAGGAGCACGAAGGUUAGCUAAUCCUGGUCGGACAUCAGGAGGUUAGUGCAAUGGCAUAAGCUAGCUUGACUGCGAGCGUGACGGCGCGAGCAGGUGCGAAAGCAGGUCAUAGUGAUCCGGUGGUUCUGAAUGGAAGGGCCAUCGCUCAACGGAUAAAAGGUACUCCGGGGAUAACAGGCUGAUACCGCCCAAGAGUUCAUAUCGACGGCGGUGUUUGGCACCUCGAUGUCGGCUCAUCACAUCCUGGGGCUGAAGUAGGUCCCAAGGGUAUGGCUGUUCGCCAUUUAAAGUGGUACGCGAGCUGGGUUUAGAACGUCGUGAGACAGUUCGGUCCCUAUCUGCCGUGGGCGCUGGAGAAUUGAGGGGGGCUGCUCCUAGUACGAGAGGACCGGAGUGGACGCAUCACUGGUGUUCGGGUUGUCAUGCCAAUGGCACUGCCCGGUAGCUAAAUGCGGAAGAGAUAAGUGCUGAAAGCAUCUAAGCACGAAACUUGCCCCGAGAUGAGUUCUCCCUGAGACUAUAAGUCUCCUGAAGGAACGUUGAAGACGACGACGUUGAUAGGCCGGGUGUGUAAGCGCAGCGAUGCGUUGAGCUAACCGGUACUAAUGAACCGUGAGGCUUAACCUU